GCUUCACCGGAAUCUCCCUCAGCUCAUCCUGCUGAUGAUGUUGAUUCCCUCCAUUCUCCUAAUUCUUAUUCUCCAUGGUGAGAGCUUUGCUGAGAUGCCGGUGGAGCUACUCGUCGAAGCUCUUUAACGAAGAUAAGAUCUGAGGCAAAAAUUCUCUCCCUCAGUCAGAUUUUUGACAAAUGCCCCAAAACAUUGAGAAAGUGGUGGAGAAAUCGAAGGGAUUCAUGCAAUUGUUCAAAUUUCUCAAUGAAAAAGAUAAAGAUAUCUUCACCGUAGACAUGUACUUCGUUAUUUUAACUUAAUCGCUUCAAAGAUGGGUAAAAACGAAUUUGUGACUAUCAAGUGGCAAAAUUAGAGAACUUGACCAACUGCUAUUGAACAGAUGUGCAAAAUUAGAAACUCAAGGACACGUUAUAACAUUCUUCCCAAUCUACCUUCAUACUUGUUUUCA
Salvia splendens (bonfire salvia) is the source of this 451-nucleotide long non-coding RNA. RefSeq lists it as uncharacterized. The record is from RefSeq and is a predicted model, not a curated record. NCBI's taxonomy places the organism in Eukaryota, Viridiplantae, Streptophyta, Magnoliopsida, Lamiales, Lamiaceae. The transcript is spliced from 2 exons.